This 1251-nucleotide long non-coding RNA is filed under the name Pelobates cultripes (western spadefoot toad). Lineage: Eukaryota; Metazoa; Chordata; Amphibia; Anura; Pelobatidae. The record is from RNAcentral.
CCUAGCUGGACCUGGCACCCAGAUCACUUCAUUAAGCUGAAGUGGUCUGGGUGCCUAGAGUGGUCCUUUAAGCAUCUUGUUUGUUUUUCCAUGUCACUGGAAAAUAUCCCUUGAGUAAGUAAGCGAAGACUGAAUAAAAAAUAGAGAGAGAUUUAUUCAUUAAAUCAGGAUUUGUGGAGAACUCAGGGUAACUGGAAAUAUUGUGUUGUGAUUGCACACUGCCUUUUGAGGGUGCUACUGAGUCCUGCUACCUGUAGAUGGCGCUCACGUAUGCUGCCUACUGAAGGCACUCCCUUUAGCUGCCUGUAGAUGGCGCUCACGUAUGCCGCCUACUGAAGGCACUCCCUUUAGAUGCCUGUAGAUGGCGCUCACGUCUGCCGCCUACUGAAGGCACUUCCUUUAGCUGCCUGUAGAUGGCGCUCACGUAUGCCGCCUACUAAAGGCACUCCCUUUAGCUGCCUGUAGAUGGCGCUCACGUAAGCCGCCUACUGAAGGCACUCCCUUUAGCUGCCUGUAGAUGGGGCUCCUGCAUGCAGUCUGUAGAUGGCGCUCCUGCAUGCAGUCUAUAGAUGGCGCUCCUGCACGCAGUCUAUAGAUGGCGCUCCUGCACGCUGACUGUAGAUGGCGCUCCUGCAUGCAGGCUGUAGAUGGGGCUCCUGCAUGCAGUCUGUAGAUGGGGCUCCUGCAUGCAGUCUGUAGAUGGGGCUCCUGCAUGCUGGCUGUAGAUGGGGCUUCUGCAUGCUGGCUGUAGAUGGGGCUCCUGCAUGCUGGCUGUAGAUGGGGCUCCUGCAUGCUGGCUGUAGAUGGAGCUCCUGCAUGCUGGCUAUAGAUGGGGCUCCUGCAUGCAGUCUGUAGAUGGGGCUGUCAGCUCCUGUAGAUGGGGCUCCUGCAUGCUGGCUGUAGAUGCUCCUGCAUGCUGUGGAUGGGCGGUCCUGCAUGCAGUCUGUGGAUGGGGCUGUGCAUGCAGUUCAGUCUGUGUAGAUGGGGCUCCUGCAUGCAGUCUGUAGAUGGGGCUCCUGCAUGCUGGCUAUAGAUGGGGGCAUGGUCUGUAGAUGGGGCUUAGCAUGCAGUCUGUAGAUGGGGCUCCGUACAGUCUGUAGAUGGGGAGCUCCACGUACGGGGAGGUAGAUGGGGCUCCUGCAUGCAGUCUGUAGAUGGGGCUCCUGCAUGCAGUCUGUAGAUGGGGCUGUAGCAUGCAGUCUGUAGAUGGGGCUGUAGCAUGCAGUCUGUAGAUGGGGCUGUAGCAUGCAG